This 68-nucleotide transfer RNA is filed under the name Marmota monax (woodchuck). RNAcentral describes it as "tRNA.Ala". The stretch from base 5 to 65 matches the Rfam family "tRNA", at positions 6 to 65 of the family's 71-position model. Rfam says of the family: Transfer RNA (tRNA) molecules are approximately 80 nucleotides in length. Their secondary structure includes four short double-helical elements and three loops (D, anti-codon, and T loops). The record is from RNAcentral. Lineage: Eukaryota; Metazoa; Chordata; Mammalia; Rodentia; Sciuridae.
GGAUUGUGGCUCAGUGGUAGAGUGUUCACCUAGCACGUGAGAGAUGCUGGGUUUGAUCCUCAGCACCA